CUGCCCACAAACAACCUACGCGGCCUGCGAGGACUCUGGCCCGGCGGACCGCAAUGGCCGGGGUGUUCGCCGCGGGAGGGCGUCGGGAAGGGCGCGGGGAGGCCGGGAAGGGAAAGACGGAGCGUGGACCCCGCAGGGCCGGAGGGGAGAGGCCCAGAGCCAAGCGAACCGGCAGGGGCCGGCUUUCCCAUUGCGGCCCACCUGCGGCAGAGAGAAUCAUUUCUUCCCAAGAUUGCAUGGCGGGGCUUCUCUCAAAGAACAAGAAUCAAAAGGCAAGAAAGGGCGCAAAGAUCAGAGUUGAGCCCUCUCCUGAGAAGUAAAGCCCUUUUCCCCCUUUUCUUUCCACAGGACUUUCAAGCCCUUUGUCUUUACUCCAAGAGAGGUUUUGGUUUGUCUUCUUAAGUUGGAGAGUAGGUUCAUGUAGCCACACAAUAAGAGGGAUCUGAAGAAGGAGGGAACUGGCCAGUUAAACCCCUCCACCUUAUGGCCAGUGCUUACUGGAGAUGAAUUUUUGUUGAUAGGUACUCAAGCAAGGCAAAAAAGAUAAUGACACUUUGCGCAUUUGCCAUAGCGUCUCUCAGCAACAAGGACCUCCAAGUGCAUUACAUUAAUUUUAACGUGCCAUAAGAGAAGUGUUGUGCUGUCCCCGACUUCCAGGUGGCUUAAAGGAGGUUCAGUUGCUUUAAAAAAAAAAAAAUGCUUCCGGUUGACACUGACUGAGAGGUAUAUGUGGGAACAGUAGCUAAGUCAAUGUAUACCUCAAAAUGUGACAUGGAGACUGUUGUCAUCAAGGAGUCCCCAGAAGCCCAAACUGAGAGAACGAAAAGAAGAACAAACAGAUGGGAGACUACAGUGAAGCACAUACAAAAGAUAGUCUGGAAAGAAAAACAGGCAAGAUCUAUAACAUUAAAACCAGUGAGGUGUUUGAGCUUUGGCAGGGGAAUCCUAAGUCCUUAUUAAUGGAAAUAGUCAGGAUAUAUUAGUUAAGGCUCAUGAAAUGAAAAGGAAUUGAAAAUGAAAAUGGAAUAAAAGUCCUCAAAAUAUGUACAAAAUGCAAAAUGACAGUAAUCUCCUGGCCUUGACAUUCAAGAUUAUAAAGCACAGCUUAAAUCACAAGACCCAACUGGCUAUUCUUCCUUCCAAGGAAUUAUUUGGCUGACAAUUAAAAUUUCUCUCAGAAAUACGUAUUUUUUCCAGAACUCAGAAAACAUAAUUUCUCUAUCAAUGUAAUCAUAACUAAGAAAGCCAUGCAAAUUUUAAAUCAGUUUACAAAGAAAUAGAUGCCCUAAGAACCAUUUUCUAGUUCAUUUUCAAAGUUUUUAAGUUUGUGAAUAGGUUAACUUUUUAUAAAUUCCAGCCAGAAUGAAAUGUGUAUUCUAAUUUAAAGUUGAUAAGUAUUUAUGGUUGGAGAAAAAAGGGGGUUUAUUAUUUUUAAGUUGCUUUUUCACUUACCGCCAGCAUCCUGUUUCCUCCGCUGUAUCUGAUGUGUUUACCAAGACAAAUGCAGAAUAAAGAAUGGUCACCCCUACACUGCUCUAAAGAAAAGUAAUAGGGUUAUCAUCAACUAUUACAGGAAGAGCUCAGAUCCAGAACAGAGCUUCUGAUGCAUGUGAAACUUUUUAACCUAACUUAGGAGCUAUAAAGCCACAUUGCAUUCAAAAACCCUUUUCAGUGUUACAUAUUUCAAGAAUUAUUUGAUGUUUCUAUAACCUAUAACUGACUGAACCCUUGAGAAAUUUAAGUUGACACCUAAUUUAAGUUACAGACAUCUAACUGAAAAAUACAUAUCCUCUCAGGUUUUCAUUUUGUUUGGAUAUUUUAAAUAGACUUGACCUUGCAAAGUUUCUCAUGAAUACUGACUCUUAUUCCUCUCUC
Zalophus californianus (California sea lion) is the source of this 1875-nucleotide long non-coding RNA. RefSeq lists it as uncharacterized. The transcript is spliced from 3 exons. NCBI's taxonomy places the organism in Eukaryota, Metazoa, Chordata, Mammalia, Carnivora, Otariidae. The record is from RefSeq and is a predicted model, not a curated record.